CUUUCUAGAAUAGUAACAACUGUUUCACUUCUCUUCUGACUCUCUUAUCACAGAGAACAAAUAUAAAAAGCUCACAAAGGAAAGAAUGAGGAUUUGCAGAGAGUACAAGAGGACGUUGAAAGGGCACUAUAUAUUACUGCUUCCUUUCUGCCAUGUUUAAUUUUUCUGCAAAAAUAAAUAAAAAUUCAACAUCCUUUUUAUAUUAAACAUGUAUCAAACGACUCUUAGCUAUCUUUGCUUGAUUUCUCAAAAUUCUCAACCCCAAAGUGAGAAAUAAUAAUAAUUGUUGCAAAAAUUACAAUAUCAUGAUGGUUUUCUUCUUUCUCUGACCAUAAAUGGAUAGAAAUCGGAUCUGAACCUACAAUUGGUGCUUGCAUUUAUGGCGCGGUGAUUUCAGUCUCUCUUGUCGUGUGACCAUGAAGCCAUUUCAACAUACAUUUAGGUUAUCUUACCUCUGGACUCAUGUUUAUAAUACUUAUGAUAUGGUAAGAGAAAUUGGAGUCACUGCCAUGACUGCAAGUUUGAAUUUUUGGAUAAAAUCUAAUUUUUGCUACUUUUUUCUUGGUUAAAAAAAAUAUGUUUCCCUUUCUAUCUCCUUUGAUCUAUUUCAUCAUCUUCAUUUGGAUCUAUUUAUUGCGGUUCUCAACUAUGGUAAGUUGGUGCUAAUACGUGAUUUUUUUAACUAUUAAUAUUUGUGCAAUGAUGUAUUUCGUAUCAACGGCGGAAAGGCAUUCCAAGGACUCAUUAAUAAAUUCAUUAAGAGUUAUUUUUUCAAAAUAGGCAAACACAUAAUGUCAAUUUAUAAAUGCUUCCUAGGAGAUGUAUGUUAGAAUUUUGUUGUAUUAUCUUGUUGUACAAAUUCAAAAAAUGCAACAUCACGGUUACCUUUCUCUAAUAACAUUAUUUUUCAUAUUAUUGAUUUGAUUGUAUUUUUUCCUUGGCAUAAUAAUUUUGAUUGGAUCUUUUAUUUAAUCAUAAAAAAAUUGUAGAAUCUAAACUUUUAGGUUAUAAUAUUUCAUCUAUCAAUUAUGAUGCUUUUAGGAAACAUGAUUCUUUUCAGCCAAGGAUUGAUGAGAGCCUAAUGUAUAAUAGGUAUUUUUUAAUAUUUAAAUAUUUUUCCUUACUAUUCGACUGAUCAAUAUAGAAAAUAUUUUAUCACCCAAAAAUAGGACAAUAAUGAUUGAUUAUAAUUGUUAUAAACACAAAAGAUAAGCGAACAUUUCUGACUGGCCAAGGUCGAACUUUCACACUCAAAUACAAGGUAAGGGCAUACCAGUUGGGAUGAUUCUACAACUACUACACCACUCCUUCAGAAAUAGUCAUAGUCUCUGCGAAAUUAUGUUAUCAUUGUUUGAUUUUACUUGAGGAUACUUGAGUCACAAAGUUAAACCUUUGAGGUACUUCUGUCAGGAGUAUAAGUAAAAUUUGAUGAUAUCCCUCUUGUUCAAAAAAUAUGUCGUAAAGAUAUUUUUUUGCACUUGAAAAUUAGGUAUUUGAGAAUUUACAUAAUUAGAAUUUUUAUUAUAUUUAUGGCCACUUGAUUGUGUUGUAUGCAAGUUUUUUUUUCCUUUUACAUAUUCAAAUAACUUAAAUUGAUGGUUUAUUUGUAUGUGUGUGAUGUCAAAGAUGAGUCUCUAUGACUAAGUACUUUUGUUUUUCUUAAAAGAGAAAAAAUUAUACAUGUUGAGAUGUUGUAUCGAUAUUUUUGCUCUUGAUUGUGAUGACAUAUUCCUUUUGCAGAAUUUGAUAAUGAAAUGACAUAACACUUGAAGUGGUUGAUUGGUUUAAUAUUCAUUAUUAGAAUGAAAUCUUUUUUCAGUUUUAGAGGAUAUUGAUUCCUUGAGAAAUGUAUGAUUGAUGACACAUAAUAUAGCAGGAAGUUGUUAUAGUGUGCACAAUUUUUAUUGUCAGUUCUUAUGCUCCAUCUUUUUUGUAAGAAACUUGAAGAAGCAGAGGACCUAUAGCAUAGCAACAACUACAAGUAGAUUUGUUUACAAAAUUAUUGAGUUUAGACUAUUACAAUUUUUUAGGAUAGAGCCGUGUUUGAUGAAUAUAUGUAAACCUUUUUGUUUGA
Molecule: long non-coding RNA, 2074 nt
Organism: Solanum lycopersicum (tomato)
Lineage: Eukaryota; Viridiplantae; Streptophyta; Magnoliopsida; Solanales; Solanaceae
Source: RefSeq, a predicted model, not a curated record